Molecule: ribosomal RNA, 253 nt
Filed under: uncultured bacterium
Lineage: Bacteria
Description: partial 16S ribosomal RNA
Rfam family: Bacterial small subunit ribosomal RNA
Source: RNAcentral
UACGUAGGGUGCGAGCGUUAAUCGGAAUUACUGGGCGUAAAGCGUGCGCAGGCGGUUUUGUAAGACAGACGUGAAAUCCCCGGGCUUAACCUGGGAACUGCGUUUGUGACUGCAAGACUAGAGUACGGUAGAGGGGGGUAGAAUUCCACGUGGAGCAGUGAAAUGCGUGGAGAUGUGGAGGAAGACCGAUGGCGAAGGCAGCCCCCUGGGAUAACACUGACGCUCAUGUACGAAAGCGUGGGUAGCAAACAGG